RNAcentral lists this long non-coding RNA (1535 nucleotides) under Chlamydomonas reinhardtii. RNAcentral's name for it is "long non-coding RNA (CREI_LNC000387)". The record is from RNAcentral. Lineage: Eukaryota; Viridiplantae; Chlorophyta; Chlorophyceae; Chlamydomonadales; Chlamydomonadaceae.
CCCCGUGUGCGUUCAUAUUAAUCCCCCUUUCAACACCGCACAUGGCAAGACAAGCAAGUAUCAAGUAUGCGGCCAACCAAGUUUAAGUGUUGCAUGGGGCACUGCUUCCAAACUCUUUGCGGCACUUCCUUCUUUGCCAGAUAUACUGUAUCCUUCUAUGCAUAUCACACAUUACUAAAGACUACAGACACGUCAAGGUGUCAGUAUGUAGAGACCCGCAAACAGUUCUCUGCCACUCGGCAGAGGACGCCCUCGCCCUGCUAUGUUUGCUUUUAAGGCCCAGUCUCCACUAGUAACGCUAUGUGGCGCACAGGUGCGCCUUGCAGCGGCCAUAACGCUGGGUUGUUGCAGGGGUGGUGACGUCGUUGACCGAGCGCAAUAUUUAUCGCCCACCUUCAAUUCGUUCAGGUUCAGGCUCAACAAAAGCAUUUCAAAAGGCUACAGAGCCAUCACGCGUGGCGCAGGUGAGGCGGGGGUACCAUCCGCGCGACUUGGUUGCUAGCUCCCGAGGCUGUCAGCUGAGAGCAUGCGCAUGCUAAGGUGUCUGUAUAAUGGCACCGUACAAGCCUGUCAUCAGUUCAUGCUCAGUUCUCAGUCCUGGUACCCUCCCGCCCUCCCUCAGGACUCCGGCCACACGAAGGGCCACCCGUGCGGACCACCCCUGGGUGGGCUAGACGUGGCGCACUCACACGUUAACCCCAACAGGCAAGUCUAUGUCCAGAUAUUAUUUCGCAAUUGCUGAAGUAAGCACUGCAUGAGUAGCGUGUCUGCAGCUGAACAUGGGGGGAAAGGUACCUUGCGUCUUACCCUCUGAUAUGCCUGGUUUUGUGGUUUGGUUCCUGACCGAAUCGUCCUGAACACUAUGCAGGCUUACGAAGGGCAGCACGGAUGUGGCUAGCUGUGGACUGGAGCGCUGGCACCGGCAGCAUGCGGAGUCUGCGGUGGCACUGUGCAGCAGGUCGGACGUUGUGGUUGAGGUCGUUGUGUGUUUGGCAAGACUUAGUAUGGGCACACCUCUGCCGCUUAUGCCUUGGCGGGUGGCGUUUGGUUGUUCCGCGGAAGUGGCUACAUGCACAUCUGUGGCUAGCUACGGACUGGAGUGCCGGCACCGGCAGCAUGCAGAGUCUGCGGUAGCACUGUGCAGCAGGUCGGACGUUGUGGUUGUCGUUGUGUGUUUGGCAAGACUUUAGUAUGGGCACACCUCUGCCGCUUAUGCCUUGGCGGGUGGCAUUUGGUUGUUACCCGGAAGCGGCUACAUACGCAUCUGUAUUCAUGUUACGGUAGGGCACGUUCGGUGAGCGAGGAGGUCGAUGGGUGACAGGGCAUGUGGAGCGGGCAGACUUCCUUUCCAGGGUGUGCGAUGGCGGACUAAAAGCCUAAGGAGAGGCUGGUGGAUGGAGGCGGACUCACGCACGCCUUCAGAGAAACAGGCCGAAUCCUCGUUUACACUGGACGUGCGGCACGUGCCGUUGCAUGAACUGUAACACAAAUGAGCAGUUGAGGGAAUUGGCUUCGUGUGCCCCACGUGUGCGUGC